UCAUUGAUUAAAGGGAAGCAGCUGCUAGAGCCUAAGAGCUAGAAGAAGUGACAAAAUGUGCCAUGUGGGAAACAAGGAUUCUGUUCCCACCUCUGCUAGAACUGACCUGGUAUAAAUUGCGAAGUGAGGGAAAUAAUAACUGCCUUGUAUUUAAGAUUACAUUCCCAGUGACCUUCCACUGCAACAUGCUAUCUGGAACCAGAGGAUAAAGUUGUUUUCUAGGUUUUAGAUAGAUCUCUGGAGUUGUCUUCAAACAAAAGACAGGACUCAGUGCUUCUUGUGACAGUAUCAGAAAUGUCACUCAAGAUUUUGAAGUUUGUCACAAGACAGUUUCAAGAUUUCCUAGAAGAUGCAGCAUGAUCAUUCUCUUGGAGGCUCUGAGACCACAAUCAGUCCUGGGGUUUCCCCAUGUGAUGGUGAUGGCAGCAAAAUGGUGGAGACUGCUCACUGUGUGCCUGGGUUGGCCUUCCUCUUGUGAUGAGUAGCUUCCAUGCAGACUCAUCUGUACUACUUCUACUGCAUGGCCAGAGUGCUCCCCUGCCUUGCACCAACUCUGAGAUUUAAUUCUAAAAUCUUAGUGUCUCCAAUGGUCAGUUUUAAAUGAUUCUUACGGAAAAGCCAAUCAGUCAAGCCAGAAAACCCUGCUUGGGCUUUUAUUUGAACAUAUGCAAAUAAUUUGUUGUUUAAAUCUCUGGAAACUCGCACGUGUUGAUUCAUUUUUCUGUAAAUCACCCAGCAAACACCAGGUUCUGUUCAUUUCUUGCAUGCACUUGAAAGAGGAGAAGAGGAAGAUAUCUAAGCUUGGAGAAUACCCAGGAAGGGCAGUGCUGAGGUUGUUCAAGGCUUUUUCUACUUGUUCUUCUAAUUUGUUCACAGUGGAGCAGGAUAAGAUGAGAAUUGUAGUUGGAAGUAUUGACUAAUACAAGUACUAACUGCUCCUCUCGAGGUCAUGUUGUUUUCAGGGACACUUGCAGCACCAACACAUGGUAAAGUUUUAGAAAAAAAUCUUCUGUAUUCCGUUGAUUUUGGAGGAAAAUGAUUUUAAUUCUUGAAAUUCUAACAUGAUUUUUGCUACUGUUGGCAAACCUGUGUUUAAACUGUUAUGUUUCUUAUUGAAAACUUUGCAAAUCCUCACUUGUGAGGGCAGAAUUAAGAACCAGAAUUAAGCACUCAAAGUUUUACAUUUCUACCAGGCACUUUCUACCACUGAGUUGUCACAUGGGUUCUUCUGAUGAAAGCUGACUUGCAAGAUGGAUAUGAAAAACCCUUGUAUUUAUACACACUGAGAAAAUAUAUUUGACAAGAUAAAAAUGAUCAUAUUUUAAUUGUCAUGCCUGAAAAAUAGUUAGAGUAUGGAAAAGAACAGGUUUUUUUUUUCACAGCUCUCAUUAGCUGAACUAAUCUGACUUUCCAUUUUGGCCUCUGCUGGCUCCCACUUCAUUGUGGGUAUCAUUAAUCAAGUAAAUCAAGCCUGCUGGCUUCUCCCUGUGUUAGUUCCACUCAUUGUAGAAUAGGUUGUAUGUAUUCCUCAGGCUGAAUUAGGCAUUAUGAAUGGAAUUAGAGGGUUGAUGGCAAUAUGGCUUGUGGAUCAAAAGGAGAGCAGCCCAUGUGAAAAGCUGUAGAUCUUCAGAACUUGCCCACAUGAAAAAUAGUAAAAACUGACGUUUAUCACUAAGACAGUAGCAUGAUUGUAUCAGCAAAAGAAACAGAUACCAACUAUUAGAUGGCACCAUCUUUUCCUAGCAGUUUCAAAGUGGAACUACCAUGAAAGAUGGUGUGAUGAGCUAGCUAGCCAAAUAGCACAGAGCUGAGGAACAUGUUCUGAAGUUCCGUGUACGCAGAUGGAUAACCAUUUAAUGUAAGAGAUGGUUUGUCUCAGAUUGAAUGCUGGCAGCUACUGGCCCUGGCAAAGAAAAACCUGGUUCAGAGAAGAACCAAGCAAAUUCUAGUAAAAUAUUAGUAAAAUAUUUAUAUUUUUUUAUGGUUUUUUUUUUUUUUUUUUUUUUUCCCCCCACAUCUAUGUGGCCCUUGGAUAUUAGCUUGUAGCCUUCAUUGUGAUGCAGG
Molecule: long non-coding RNA, 2064 nt
Organism: Gallus gallus (chicken)
Lineage: Eukaryota; Metazoa; Chordata; Aves; Galliformes; Phasianidae
Source: Ensembl